CCUACGGGAGGCAGCAGUGGGGAAUUUUGGACAAUGGGCGAAAGCCUGAUCCAGCAAUGCCGCGUGAGUGAAGAAGGCCUUCGGGUUGUAAAGCUCUUUUGUCAGGGAAGAAACGGUGAGGGCUAAUAUCCCUUGCUAAUGACGGUACCUGAAGAAUAAGCACCGGCUAACUACGUGCCAGCAGCCGCGGUAAUACGUAGGGUGCAAGCGUUAAUCGGAAUUACUGGGCGUAAAGCGUGCGCAGGCGGUUUUGUAAGUCUGUCGUGAAAUCCCCGGGCUCAACCUGGGAAUUGCGAUGGAGACUGCAAGGCUAGAAUCUGGCAGAGGGGGGUAGAAUUCCACGUGUAGCAGUGAAAUGCGUAGAGAUGUGGAGGAACACCGAUGGCGAAGGCAGCCCCCUGGGUCAAGAUUGACGCUCAUGCACGAAAGCGUGGGGAGCAAACAGGAUUAGAUACCCUGGUAGUCCACGCCCUAAACGAUGUCUACUAGUUGUCGGGUUUUAAUUAACUUGGUAACGCAGCUAACGCGUGAAGUAGACCGCCUGGGGAGUACGGUGCAAGNUUAAAACGUUCAAAUGAAUUGACGGCUUGNGAGNGCGAGGCGACGACGAGGAGAGG
Molecule: ribosomal RNA, 617 nt
Filed under: uncultured bacterium
Lineage: Bacteria
Description: bacterial SSU rRNA
Rfam family: Bacterial small subunit ribosomal RNA
Source: RNAcentral